Molecule: non-coding RNA, 217 nt
Organism: Paramuricea clavata
Lineage: Eukaryota; Metazoa; Cnidaria; Anthozoa; Malacalcyonacea; Plexauridae
Source: the annotation of a GenBank genome assembly
AUAGACUAUAGUGGUGAAAACAUGUCUGAUAUGGUUGUAUGAAGUGGCAUUGCCAUUGGACUGUAGUGUCAAAACUUUGAAUUGUCAUUGGACUGAAGUGUUAAAUAUUGGACUCUGAAUGUGAUUUGUUCGAGGGCAUUACAUUACAUUACAUUACAUUACUUAAACUAGAUAGCUAAGCCUGACAAUUGUUUGAUGUAAUACCUGGUUGCGGCGG